GUCUCUUUGAAAAUUAUUAAUAAAGAGUUGGGCCUGCUCGGUGAGAAGAAAAAUUUAACAGCUGCGGUAUUAUAACUGUACUAAGGUAGCAUAAUAAUUUGCCUUAUAAAUUAAGGCUAGAAUGAAUGGUUUGACGAAAAUUAGACUGUCUUUAUUUUAUUUGUUAGAAAUUAAUUUUUAUAGUGAAAAAGCUUGAAUAAUUUAAGGGGACGAGAAGACCCUAUUGAGCUUUAUUUAUUAAUAUUUAAAUAUAAAUAUAUAAUUUAUAUUAUGAAAAUUAUGUUGUAUAUAUAUAUAUAUAUUUAAUUGGAUUUAAUUUUGAUUGGGGUGAUCAAGGAAUAAAGAUAAAGUAACUUCCUUAAAAUUAAUGAUUGUUUUUAUAGAGUAAUAAACCAAGUUUUUUGCUUAUAAGAUAAGUUACCAUAGGGGUAACAGCGUAAUUUUUUUUGAGAGUUCAUAUUGAAAAAAGAGAUUGCGACCUCGAUGUUGGAUUAAAAAUUACCUUAAGGUGUAGAGGCUUUGUUAGGUGAAUCUGUUCGAUUUUUAAAAUUUU
This 553-nucleotide ribosomal RNA is filed under the name Callistoctopus minor (long arm octopus). RNAcentral's name for it is "partial 16S ribosomal RNA". It matches the Rfam family "Bacterial large subunit ribosomal RNA", at positions 1817 to 2597 of the family's 2925-position model. Lineage: Eukaryota; Metazoa; Mollusca; Cephalopoda; Octopoda; Octopodidae. The record is from RNAcentral.